GCUGGGCAUGGUGGCGCGUGCCUGUAAUCCCAGCUACUUGGGAAGCUGAGGCAGGAGAAUCACUUGAGCCUGGGAGGUGGAUGUUGCAGUGAGCUGAGAUAGCACCACUGCACUCCAGCCUGGGUGACAGAGCGAGACUCUGUCUCAG
Molecule: non-coding RNA, 148 nt
Filed under: Homo sapiens (human)
Lineage: Eukaryota; Metazoa; Chordata; Mammalia; Primates; Hominidae
Source: Rfam by way of RNAcentral